Molecule: long non-coding RNA, 928 nt
Organism: Mercurialis annua (annual mercury)
Lineage: Eukaryota; Viridiplantae; Streptophyta; Magnoliopsida; Malpighiales; Euphorbiaceae
Exons: 2
Source: RefSeq, a predicted model, not a curated record
UUACUGUCAAAAAGUUGAGAUAUACGGUUUAUUUCAACUCUAAUAAAUUCUCCUCUAAUCUUUAGCUUCUUUAAUCAUGAGUUCAUCUUCUAUUAUUUUUUUUUUGAAAUUCAUGGCUGCUAAGAUAGAUUUUUGCUUUGAAGAAUCUCCAUUUCGUACCGACGAGGAAGAAGACGACGACGAGGAAGACCAUAAAACUAACUCAUCGUCUCCUACUUUUCUCGUUGCCAAAGUUAUUAGAGCUUUUUUUACUGCUCAUAGAGACUCCUCUUUCUCAUCUUCUUAUGGUUUUAACCACCGCCCCGGCUGCUACCACCGUCUCUACUACAAUUGCAUAUAGGGAUUCAAAGCCACACGAGUACACUUCGAUGAAGAAUUUGAAUGAAUCUAAGCAAGGCUUUGGGGGGCUCUUUCUAGAAAAACUAAAUCUUUUCUAAUGAUGAUGCUUACGCUUCUCAAUAUUUGGAUUCACCUGGUAGACUCACUUGCAAUCCGGUUAAACGGUCAAAAUUGAAUCUAGCAUUAUCAUAUUUGAGCAUUCUGAUUCAAAAAUAUGAUAUUUAUUAAGUUUUAAUCAUACUUAAGUUGCUUGUUAACUGUGUGUGGUUCUAGUAUUGUGUUUUGGAUUUACAUUUUGUUGAACCUUGCUGCAUUUGCACAUCUUUUCUUGUCUUUUUCUAGUCGAAUUCUUAUAAAUUUUCUUGGCCUAAAGAUGUCAAAGUACUAAAUUAUGGGCUGCUUUGUGAAUUAGGCUUUUGGCAUUAAGCUUCUUGACAAAAGGAAUGAAACAAGAUGAGGGAUGAUUUUUUAAUUGUAAUUUAAUUGUAUUUGUAGAAUGAUGUAGCAAUUUUUUUAUUUUCUUUUUCUUUUUUCAUUUUGUACUUUUGGUUAAACAAGUAUAUAAUCAUUCUAUUAAUUAGUUGAAUUA